CGUGGAGCGAUUUGUCUGGUUUAUUCCGAUAACGAGCGAGACUCUGGCCUACUAAAUAGUGAGCGCAUUGCCUCUGUGCGCAGCACUUCUUAGAGGGAUUUUCGGUGUUCAGCCGCACGAAAUUGAGCAAUAACAGGUCUGUGAUGCCCUUAGAUGUCCGGGGCUGCACGCGCGCUACACUGGCAAAAUCAGCGUGCUUGUCCUUCGCCGAAAGGCGUUGGUAAACCCCUGAAAAUUUGCCGUGAUUGGGAUCGGAAAUUGCAAUUAUUUUCCGUGAACGAGGAAUUCCAAGUAAGUGCGAGUCAUCAACUCGCGUUGAAUACGUCCCUGCCCUUUGUAC
Molecule: ribosomal RNA, 340 nt
Filed under: Nematoda environmental sample
Lineage: Eukaryota; Metazoa; Nematoda
Description: SSU rRNA
Rfam family: Eukaryotic small subunit ribosomal RNA
Source: RNAcentral